UUUUCCUUAGAACGCAACACAAAUUUACACAAAAUCUUAGCCUAGAGUGUAGAGACUUAGAGUAGUUUCAGAGGAAAACAUGAAAAGUGACAUAGUAGCAAUUUUAAUGAUGUUCAUGUUAGGUUUUGUGCAAAUUCUAAGUAUUGAGGCAAAACUGCCUUGUGCUGCACAAUGUGCUUUAGAUUGUUUAGGUUCAGAACACCCUUAUCCUGUUUGUUUAGCUAAAUGUCUUGAAAAAUGCGAUAAAGUGUCUACCACUCACUACAAUUGUAUUACAAAGUGUGGCGUGAGCAAGACCCUCACUGUUACUAUUGAUGGUCGUGGUGAUGUGACUGACGUCGUUGAUUCUUGCUUGCGAAACUGUCCCAACUUGGAAGAGUAAUUAAUUCUUCACUCUAACAAGAUUCGAGAGCAAAAUUAGACAUGUUACUUAUACAUGUUUGUAAUAAAAUCAUGGAAAAAUGAAUUUUAUAAUAAUUUCUGCUAUAAUUCCUUUUUA
This is a long non-coding RNA of Vigna angularis (adzuki bean), 499 nucleotides long. RefSeq lists it as uncharacterized. The transcript has 2 exons. The record is from RefSeq and is a predicted model, not a curated record. NCBI's taxonomy places the organism in Eukaryota, Viridiplantae, Streptophyta, Magnoliopsida, Fabales, Fabaceae.